RNAcentral lists this ribosomal RNA (497 nucleotides) under uncultured bacterium. RNAcentral's name for it is "partial 16S ribosomal RNA". It matches the Rfam family "Bacterial small subunit ribosomal RNA", at positions 28 to 507 of the family's 1533-position model. The record is from RNAcentral.
GAUGAACGCUGGCGGCGUGCCUAAUACAUGCAAGUCGAGCGAACAGACGAGGAGCUUGCUCCUCUGACGUUAGCGGCGGACGGGUGAGUAACACGUGGAUAACCUACCUAUAAGACUGGGAUAACUUCGGGAAACCGGAGCUAAUACCGGAUAAUAUAUUGAACCGCAUGGUUCAAUAGUGAAAGACGGUUUUGCUGUCACUUAUAGAUGGAUCCGCGCCGCAUUAGCUAGUUGGUAAGGUAACGGCUUACCAAGGCAACGAUGCGUAGCCGACCUGAGAGGGUGAUCGGCCACACUGGAAAUGAGAAACGGUCCAGACUCCUACGGGAGGCAGCAGUAGGGAAUCUUCCGCAAUGGGCGAAAGCCUGACGGAGCAACGCCGCGUGAGUGAUGAAGGUCUUCGGAUCGUAAAACUCUGUUAUUAGGGAAGAACAAAUGUGUAAGUAACUAUGCACGUCUUGACGGUACCUAAUCAGAAAGCCACGGCUAACUACGUG